GACAGAGGGGGCAAGCGUUGUUCGGAAUCACUGGGCGUAAAGCGCACGUAGGCGGAUUGUUAAGUCGGGGGUGAAAUCCUGGAGCUCAACUCCAGAACUGCCUUCGAUACUGGCGAUCUUGAGUCCGGGAGAGGUGAGUGGAACUCCGAGUGUAGAGGUGAAAUUCGUAGAUAUUCGGAAGAACACCAGUGGCGAAGGCGGCUCACUGGCCCGGUACUGACGCUGAGGUGCGAAAGCGUGGGGAGCAAACAGG
RNAcentral lists this ribosomal RNA (253 nucleotides) under uncultured bacterium. RNAcentral's name for it is "partial 16S ribosomal RNA". It matches the Rfam family "Bacterial small subunit ribosomal RNA", at positions 524 to 776 of the family's 1533-position model. The record is from RNAcentral.